CGGGGGGUGCGAGCGUUGUCCGGAAUCACUGGGCGUAAAGGGCGCGUAGGUGGCCUGAUAAGGGUGUGGUGAAAGUCCGGGGCUCAACCCCGGAUCUGCCGUGCCGACUGUUGGGCUGGAGUACUGUAGGGGCAGGCGGAAUUCCGGGUGUAGCGGUGGAAUGCGUAGAGAUCCGGAGGAAGACCGGUGGCGAAGGCGGCCUGCUGGGCAGUUACUGACACUGAGGCGCGACAGCGUGGGGAGCAAACAGGAUUAGAUACCCUGGUAGUCCACGCCGUAAACGAUGGGUACUAGGUGCCUGGGGGAGCGACCCCUUGGGUGCCGGCGCUAACGCAGGAAGUACCCCGCCUGGGGAGUACGGCCGCAAGGCUG
Molecule: ribosomal RNA, 372 nt
Filed under: uncultured organism
Description: bacterial SSU rRNA
Rfam family: Bacterial small subunit ribosomal RNA
Source: RNAcentral